GAGGCCCCUACGGGGGUACAUCAGUGGCAGACGGGUGAGUAACACGUAGGUAACCUGCCCUCGAGACGGGGAUAACGGGUGGAAACGGUCGCUAAGACCCGAUAUAGUCUGACCUUCGGGAGAACGUGAGAGGAAAGGCUUCGGUGCUCGGGGAGGGGCCUGCGGCCCAUCAGCUAGUUGGAGAGGUAACGGCUCCCCAAUGCAAUGACGGGUAGGGGGUGUGAGAGCAUGGGCCCCCAAACUGUGACUGAGACACGGCCCAGACUCCUACGGGAGGCAGCAGCAGGGAAUAUUGCGCAAUGGACGGAAGUCUGACGCAGCGACGCCGCGUGGAUGACGAAGGCCUUCGGGUUGUAAAAUCCUUUUCCGGGCGAUGAGGAAGGACACUAGCCUGGGAAUAAGCGUCUGCUAACUACGUGCCAGCAGCCGGGGUAAGACGUUAGGACGCGAGCGUUAUCCGGAUUUACUGGGCGUAAAGCGCCUGCAGGCGGUCAGGUAAGUCGGUUGUGAAAGCCCCGUGCUCAAGGCGGGGAGGCCAAGCGAUACUGCGUGACUUGAGGGCGGAAGAGGGGAGUGGAAUUCCCGGUGUAGCGGUAAAAUGCGCAGAUAUCGGGAGGAACACCAGUGGCGAAGGCGGCUCCCUGGACCGCACCUGACGCUCAGAGGCGAAAGCUAGGGGAGCGAACAGGAUUAGAGACCCUGGUAGUCCUAGCCCUAAACGCUGGAUGCUAGGUGUAGGGCUGAUGAGGCUCUGUGCCGGAGCGAACGCGAUAAGCAUCCCGCCUGGGAACUACGGCCGCAAGGCUAAAACUCAAACGAAUUGACGGGGACCCGCACAAGCAGCGGAGCGUGUGGUUUAAUUCGAUGCUACACGAAGAACCUUACCUGGGUUUGACAUGCUGGUGGUACCGAACCGAAAGGGGAGGGAUCCUUCGGGGAGCCAACACAGGUGCUGCAUGGCUGUCGUCAGCUCGUGCCGUGAGGUGUCGGGUUAAGUCCCGUAACGAGCGCAACCCUUGCUCUUAGUUAUACGUGUCUAAGGGGACUGCCGGCGACAAGCCGGAGGAAGGUGGGGAUGACGUCAAGUCAGCAUGGCCUUGAUAUCCAGGGCUACACACACGCUACAAUGGCCGGUACAAAGGGCAGCCAAGCCGCGAGGUGGAGCGAAUCCCAGCAAAGCCGGUCCCAGUUCGGAUUGCAGGCUGCAACCCGCAUGCAUGAAGUUGGAGUUGCUAGUAACCGCGCGUCAGCCAUAGUGCGGUGAAUACGUACCCGGGUCUUGUACACACCGCCCGUCACGUCAUGGGAGUUGGCAACGCCUGACAGCGGUA
RNAcentral lists this ribosomal RNA (1331 nucleotides) under uncultured organism. RNAcentral describes it as "bacterial SSU rRNA". It matches the Rfam family "Bacterial small subunit ribosomal RNA", at positions 71 to 1432 of the family's 1533-position model. The record is from RNAcentral.